ACUCCUACGGGAGGCAGCAGUGGGGAAUUUUGGACAAUGGGGGCAACCCUGAUCCAGCCAUGCCGCGUGAGUGAAGAAGGCCUUCGGGUUGUAAAGCUCUUUCGGCCGGGAAGAAAUCGUGGUCUCUAACAUAGGCCAUGGAUGACGGUACCGGACUAAGAAGCACCGGCUAACUACGUGCCAGCAGCCGCGGUAAUACGUAGGGUGCGAGCGUUAAUCGGAAUUACUGGGCGUAAAGCGUGCGCAGGCGGUUUUGUAAGACGGAUGUGAAAUCCCCGGGCUCAACCUGGGAACUGCGUUUGUGACUGCAAGGCUAGAGUACGGCAGAGGGGGGUGGAAUUCCACGUGUAGCAGUGAAAUGCGUAGAGAUGUGGAGGAACACCGAUGGCGAAGGCAGCCCCCUGGGCCUGUACUGACGCUCAUGCACGAAAGCGUGGGGAGCAAACAGGAUUAGAUACCCUGGUAGUC
Molecule: ribosomal RNA, 468 nt
Filed under: uncultured bacterium
Lineage: Bacteria
Description: bacterial SSU rRNA
Rfam family: Bacterial small subunit ribosomal RNA
Source: RNAcentral